Molecule: RNA transcript, 4788 nt
Organism: Carassius gibelio (silver crucian carp)
Lineage: Eukaryota; Metazoa; Chordata; Actinopteri; Cypriniformes; Cyprinidae
Gene name: bone morphogenetic protein 5
Exons: 6
Source: RefSeq, a predicted model, not a curated record
GUCAAUAAUGCAAAAUGAUAGUUAAAGGCAGUUCAUCAUUGAAUUCAGUGAUGUCAUCUCUGUUCAGCUAAAUAGUGUCUGUGCAUUUAUUUGCAAUCAAGUCAAUGAUAUCGCUGUAGAUGAAGUGACCCCAACUAAGCAAGCCAGAGGCGACAGCGGCAAGGAACCGAAACUCCAUCGGUGACAGAAUGGAGAAAAAAACCUUGGGAGAAACCAGGCUCAGUUGGGGUCAGUUCUCCUCUGACCAGACGAAACCAGUAGUUCAAUUCCAGACUGCAGCAAAGUCAGAUUGUGCAGAAGAAUCAUCUGUUCCCGAACAAUGUUAGGUAGGUUAUUCCAGAGUUUAGGCGCCAAAUAGGAAAAGGAUCUGCCGCCCGCAGUUGAUUUUGAUAUUCUAGGUAUUAUCAAAUUGCCUGAGUUUUGAGAACGUAGCGGACGUAGAGGAGUAUAAUGUAAAAGGAGCUCAUUCAAAUACUGAGGUGCUAAACCAUUCAGGGCUUUAUAAGUAAUAAGCAAUAUUUUAAAAUCUAUACGAUGUUUGAUAGGGAGCCAGUGCAGUGUGGACAGGACCGGGCUAAUAUGAUCAUACUUCCUGGUUCUAGUAAGAACUCUUGCUGCUGCAUUUUGGACUAGCUGUAGUUUGUUUACUUAGUGUGCAGAACAACCACCCAAUAAAUCAUUACAAUAAUCUAACCUUGAGGUCAUAAAUGCAUGGAUUAACAUUUCUGCAUUUGACAUUGAGAGCAUAGGCCGUAAUUUAGAUAUAUUUUUGAGAUGGAAAAAUGCAGUUUUACAAAUGCUAGAAACGUGGCUUUCUAAGGAAAGAUUGCGAUCAAGUAGCACACCUAGGUUCCUAACUGAUGACGAAGAAUUGACAGAGCAACCAUCAAGUCUUAGAAUUUGAAAUAUACACCUGGUUCAGGGUUCUCUGUGGCUUACCAAUGACCUUGCUCAAUAUGUUAAUGACCCUAGUUAAUGUUUUAAUAUUUGAUAUUCUGAUGAACGGCACAUUUGCAGCUCAAAUUAAUAUUUGAUUUUAAAACUUUGUUGCAUUACACACUAAACAGAGUUCAGUCUAUAAGCCGAUGCAAGUUCAGUGUCCAGUGUCAUAACGGUCACUUGUCCUGGGAAUUAGGCGCGUUCACGUAUCACACAGAUGCAGACCGUUUCAUGAAUGGCUUCUUUAUUUGUGCCGCACUGCUGUUUUUUCUGAUCUUUUUAAUAUUUUCCAUCUGUCCUCCCGCAGGUUAGAGCUUAUCAUCUUUGUUAGUGUGUAACCAUGUGAUAGUGUUUUUCUCAGUUCCACCUUUAUUCUCCACCUCCUUUUCAGCACCAUCCGUUUGCCCGACAUGAAAACAGUACAAAGUAUUCCAAGGCCAAGCUCGGCCGGGGUAGAUAAAUCCCUGUUUCCCAGGCGCUUCAAACAACAUCCAUUCAUUCCUUUCCAGAGUCCAGAGCUUUUGUCACGAGACUCGAGUGUUCUCCUGCAGUCAUGCCUCUGGUGCUGUGUGUCGUCGCCGUUUUGUUCGGGUGUCCUCUCGGAGAGAUGUUUGUUCUGCAUCCUUCACCUGAGGCAUCUGCUGUCAAAGCCAACAGAUGCAAGGGAGACCUGGAAAUCAGGAAAAUCCUUCUGGAAUCUCUAAACCUCCAGCAGGAGCCUCGUGUGUCCAUGUCGAAGAUGCAUCAUUUACGUGAGCAGUGGAAAGCCAGUUUCAGAAGCAGCCUCACAUCAGCACCAGCAGGUAACGCAACGUUUCCCGAGGACUCCAGAAACUCAAGCUGCUGCAAACAUUCCUGUCAGAUCUUCAUUAAAGAUCUGGGCUGGGAGCAUUGGGUGGUUUAUCCAGAGAGCAUCACCUUCGUCAAGUGCCGAUCCUGCGCUUCUGAGAGCACAGAUGCACCUGCGCAGUGCUGCCUGCCAACCGCUCACGUCAUCGUCCCAUUCGUCUACAUGGACGACUGGAGCGGUGUGGUUCUGUCCUCGGUGAGUCUGAUCCGUGAGUGCGGCUGUGACCCCGGAGAGGAAACACAGAACCCAGAGGUCAUGACCCCGUCCUAGAAAGCCUUCCUGACCCGCAGGUCUGGUGACACAGAGCCACAGAAAUGCAGUAGAGAAGCACAGCUUUUUGGUUUCGUAGGUUUAUAGCUAAGCAAUCUUAUUUAGCAUCUUUUGACUUUUGCUGCUGUUGGGAGUCAGACUCUCAGACUCUUGUGGGCUGUAAGUAAAAAGGACUCAUGUAAAGUUCUCAGAAGAGGCAAAAAUGUUCUCAUCAAAUAACAAAAAUGUUAUUUGACUUUCACAGAAAUGCACAAUGGACCUUCUGUUAUAAAUCAGUUCAAGGCCAAAUCUGUUUUUAACUUCAGGCUUUUAUGGAGCUGCGGCUUCAGCGGUCAGCGAAUGUUCCCUGAGAAAAUGCUGUCGAGCAGCUCUGCCAAAACUAUCCCUGUGUGAAUCUGAGGACCAAACAAAGUAUUACAUCAAAAUCACCUUCCUUUAAAUCAAAUUCUAAUGUCAGUUAUUCCUCUAACGUGGUGUCAGGCGUGAUCGUUAGCAAUAAUGUGAUCUGCGUGUUGAGAAACGCCUGGUCUUGAAGAAUCGAACGCACAUUCCAGCAAAGUUCAUUUUGAUUGUUUGUUUCCAAAAACCAUCUGGCCAUGAAUCAGCAUAAUUUCAAUUUCAAUGUGGAAACAUUUUUCAACCCAGUAUUAUACAUAAUUUAAUGUUUCAUAACUCGACUUCCAUGUUGUAGGCUACAUGCCAUUGUAUUAGAAAAUAUCAAAACCAUUUAAUGUAAUCCAGGAAUGGCAAACUAACACUUUCCCAAGCAUGUUCAGCUAGUAUUUAACAAGAUUUACACUUUAAAUCAAAUGUAUCAGCAGAAUGUUUUAUUAAAGAAAGCUUUCAUGGCAUAAAGAUGUGAUGUCUUCGCUUCACUUCAUAAAAUAUCCGUCCAAUGUUUGUGUGUGUUUAUUUCUGGCAGCUUCUGUGUGUAACAAAACACAUGCUGAAAAGAUUUAUCAGAAUGAACUCAUAUGAACUUCUUCUGUGCUCAUUUAUCAGUGAAUAUGGACACAGGUUACUUGCAGUGCAUUUCCGAAAUGAGUGGCUUAUUUUGGGAGUUUAUUGGCACACACUGUUUGAAAGUGUGUGUGGUGCGUGUGUGUGUGUGUGUGUGUGUGUGGGUGUGGGCGUGUGUGUGUGUGUGUGGCUGUGUGUGGUGCGUGUGUGUGUGUGUGUGUGUGUGUGUGUGGGUGUGGGUGUGUGUGUGUGUGUGGCUGUGUGUGGUGCGUGUGUGUGUGUGUGUGUGUGUGUGUGGUGUGUGGUGUGUGUGUGUGUGUGUGUGUGUGUGUGUGUGUGUGUGUGUGUGUGUGUGUGUGUGUGUGUGUGUGUGUGUGUGUGUGGUGCGUGUGUGUGUGUGUGUGUGUGUGUGUGGUGUGUGGUGUGUGUGUGUGUGUGUGUGGUCUGUAUGUGGUGUGUGUGUGUGUGCGUGUGUGUGUGUGUGUGUGUGUGUGUGUGGUCUGUAUGUGGUGUGUGUGUGUGUGGCUGUGUGUGGUGCGUGUGUCGUGUGUGUGUGUGUGUGUGUGUGUGUGUGUGUGUGUGUGUGUGUGUGUGUGUGGCUGUGUGUGGUGCGUGUGUGUGUGUGUGUGUGUGUGUGUGUGUGUGUGUGGCUGUGUGUGGUGCGUGUGUGUGUGUGUGUGUGUGUGUGUGUGUGUGUGGUCUGUUUGUGGUGUGUGUGUGUGUGGCUGUUGCGCAAUCAGUAAAGAGUGCAGAGGCUCGACAGCUCUCUGUUCCUCCUGGCUUCAGACAGACUCCACAGACCUGCGGCCGUCUGACCUUCAACACUCGAGAGAGAAGACAAGCAAACAGGAACAACUCGUCCCCUCCUGAAACAUCAUGGCCUGUGUGGGAUCCUCCUGGCUGCGCUGGGGACUGCUGCUUUCUCUCAUAUUCUGUGAGUUUGCUCAGGAGAACAGCUGGGAGUGUUUGGACAAGGACGAGAUUGUAACUGAAAUGUCCAGGGACGCUGAGAUGCCGUCUGAGUGUGUGUUGAGCUGUACAGCGCUCUCUUACAGACAGAUCGCAGACAGACAGCAGAAACUCACGGUCCGCUUUAAAGACUCGCAGCCCGGAGAGUUGGGGGACUUCUGCUGGUUUAUUCACAGAAGAUGCAGCACAUGGGAUGAAGUUUUUGUUUUACUAUCAGUCAUUGAAUCUGUUCCGAACACAGAAUCGAUUCAAAUUCAAACCAACUCUCCGACUCACCUGAUCUCCGUUCAGUCCCACGACUCUCCGUCCAUCAUUCCUGACGACUGUGGCCUUCGCUUCGACGUCACGCCGCACCUGACACACCUGACACACCUGACACACCUGCCGCUCUGUGUCCGGAUCACAGGCAUCAUGGGAAACCGCUUACAAUGCCCACCAUUUCUGGUCCUGAUAAGGAAUAAAACAAGUUUAACCAACUCCUGAAUGAAUCAAUAAACAUUAUAAAGCAUAAUGGUAAAGAUAUAGAUUCAGAUAAACUCUUAGAGGCUAGAGGUAUGACAUUUAGGAUGUUGCAUUUCAAUUUCAAUUCGUUUGAAUGAACGUUUCAGUAAUAUGUGAAUUUCCAGUUUAAUAUGCUUUAAAUUUGAAGCAUACAUUUCAUUUUAAUUUGCCUUUGUAGCCUUUCUGUUUUACUAAGCAUUUUCUAAAUAGUGAACUGAUCAAAUCAUUAGCAUGUAGUCCUGUUUAUUUAACAGCAUACAUAUGUAUAUAUAUUUUGUUAAUAAAAAUCUGGAUGCUAA